This 465-nucleotide ribosomal RNA is filed under the name uncultured bacterium. RNAcentral describes it as "partial 16S ribosomal RNA". It matches the Rfam family "Bacterial small subunit ribosomal RNA", at positions 28 to 507 of the family's 1533-position model. The record is from RNAcentral.
GACGAACGCUGGCGGCGUGCUUAACACAUGCAAGUCGAACGGAAAGGCCCUGCUUGCAGGGUACUCGAGUGGCGAACGGGUGAGUAACACGUGGGUGAUCUGCCCUGCACUUCGGGAUAAGCCUGGGAAACUGGGUCUAAUACCGGAUAGGAGCCAUUUUUAGUGUGAUGGUUGGAAAGUUUUUUCGGUGUAGGAUGAGCUCGCGGCCUAUCAGCUUGUUGGUGGGGUAAUGGCCUACCAAGGCGGCGACGGGUAGCCGGCCUGAGAGGGUGGACGGCCACAUUGGGACUGAGAUACGGCCCAGACUCCUACGGGAGGCAGCAGUGGGGAAUAUUGCACAAUGGGCGCAAGCCUGAUGCAGCGACGCCGCGUGGGGGAUGACGGCCUUCGGGUUGUAAACUCCUUUCGCUAAGGACGAAGCUUUUUGUGACGGUACCUAGAUAAGAAGCACCGGCUAACUACGUG